GAUGAACGCUGGCGGCGUGCUUAACACAUGCAAGUCGAACGAUGAAGCCCAGCUUGCUGGGUGGAUUAGUGGCGAACGGGUGAGUAACACGUGAGUAACCUGCCCUUAACUCUGGGAUAAGCCUGGGAAACUGGGUCUAAUACCGGAUAGGAGCGUCCACCGCAUGGUGGGUGUUGGAAAGAUUUAUCGGUUUUGGAUGGACUCGCGGCCUAUCAGCUUGUUGGUGAGGUAAUGGCUCACCAAGGCGACGACGGGUAGCCGGCCUGAGAGGGUGACCGGCCACACUGGGACUGAGACACGGCCCAGACUCCUACGGGAGGCAGCAGUGGGGAAUAUUGCACAAUGGGCGCAAGCCUGAUGCAGCGACGCCGCGUGAGGGAUGACGGCCGUCGGGUUGUAAACCUCUUUCAGUAGGGAAGAAGCGAGAGUGACGGUACCUGCAGAAGAAGCACCGGCUAACUACGUG
This 466-nucleotide ribosomal RNA is filed under the name uncultured bacterium. RNAcentral describes it as "partial 16S ribosomal RNA". It matches the Rfam family "Bacterial small subunit ribosomal RNA", at positions 28 to 507 of the family's 1533-position model. The record is from RNAcentral.